This is a long non-coding RNA of Vidua chalybeata, 800 nucleotides long. RefSeq lists it as uncharacterized. The record is from RefSeq and is a predicted model, not a curated record. NCBI's taxonomy places the organism in Eukaryota, Metazoa, Chordata, Aves, Passeriformes, Viduidae. The transcript is spliced from 2 exons.
UCCCAGAAAGCGGCGGAGUGUCUGGGGGCUUGGGUGUCUCUUGUUUGUAGUGUUGAAACUAUUGUUUGUAGUGAUUGCUGGAAGAUGCGAUUGUUUCCAGAAAUGCCUUAGAGAAUCCUAGAAUGGCUCGGGUUGGACGGGACCUUAAAGAUCAUCUCCCAGGUUGCUCAAAGCCCCAUUCAACCUGGCCUUGAAAACUUCCAGGAACGGCGUAUCCUCAGCUUCUCUGGCAACCUGUUCCAGUGCCUCACCACUCUCACAGUAAAGAAUUUCUUCCUAAUAUCCAAUCUAAGUUGACCCUCCUUCAGUUUAAAGCCUUUGGCCCUUUCCCUAUUGCAGCAGGCCUUGCUAGAAAGUGUGUACCCAUCUUUCUGGUAGACCUCUUUUAGGUAUUGAAACACAGUAAUAAAGUGUCCCUGGAGUCUUCUCUGAAGUGAAUAAUGCCAAAUCUCAGUCUCUCCUCAUAAGAAGAGUGCUCCAGCCCUGAUCAUCUUCAUAGCUCUUGCCUGGACCUGCUCCAACAAGUCUGUCUUUCUUGUGCUGAGGACUCUGGUGCUGGAUGCAGCACUCCAGAUGCAGGUCAGCUGCUCUUGGCUCUUAAUUACACUAUCUGAGGCUUUGCAAAUCACUCCCUUUCCAUGUGUUUCAGAGAAAGAUUAUUUUCUAAAAACAGGUAUUCAAAGAAAAUAGGGAACAGAGAAAGAGGACGUUUGAGUCCAAACAGGAUUAAGAACUCUCUAAUAAAAAGCUAACUGGGGCAUGACAUAACUAAAAAGCAAUAAAACGAACGGAGGACAGGA